UUAGAUACCCUGGUAGUCCACGCUGUAAACGAUGUCGAUUUGGAGGUUGUGCCCUUGAGGCGUGGCUUCCGGAGCUAACGCGUUAAAUCGACCGCCUGGGGAGUACGGCCGCAAGGUUAAAACUCAAAUGAAUUGACGGGGGCCCGCACAAGCGGUGGAGCAUGUGGUUUAAUUCGAUGCAACGCGAAGAACCUUACCUGGUCUUGACAUCCACAGAACUUUGCAGAGAUGGUUUGGUGCCUUCGGGAACUGUGAGACAGGUGCUGCAUGGCUGUCGUCAGCUCGUGUUGUGAAAUGUUGGGUUAAGUCCCGCAACGAGCGCAACCCUUAUCCUUUGUUGCCAGCGGUUAGGCCGGGAACUCAAAGGAGACUGCCAGUGAUAAACUGGAGGAAGGUGGGGAUGACGUCAAGUCAUCAUGGCCCUUACGACCAGGGCUACACACGUGCUACAAUGGCAUAUACAAAGAGAAGCGACCUCGCGAGAGCAAGCGGACCUCAUAAAGUAUGUCGUAGUCCGGAUUGGAGUCUGCAACUCGACUCCAUGAAGUCGGAAUCGCUAGUAAUCGUAGAUCAGAAUGCUACGGUGAAUACGUUCCCGGGCCUUGUACACACCGCCCGUCACACCAUGGGAGUGGGUUGCAAAAGAAGUAGGUAGCUUAA
Molecule: ribosomal RNA, 660 nt
Filed under: Klebsiella sp.
Lineage: Bacteria; Pseudomonadati; Pseudomonadota; Gammaproteobacteria; Enterobacterales; Enterobacteriaceae
Description: bacterial SSU rRNA
Rfam family: Bacterial small subunit ribosomal RNA
Source: RNAcentral